RNAcentral lists this long non-coding RNA (820 nucleotides) under Canis lupus familiaris (dog). RNAcentral's name for it is "lncRNA (ENSCAFG00845005399.1)". Lineage: Eukaryota; Metazoa; Chordata; Mammalia; Carnivora; Canidae. The record is from RNAcentral.
CUUCGCAGUAAAAGCUAAUGAAAGGAAACACAGGGUUCCCAGGGCAGGUGCUUGGCACUUCUCCAGGAAUAGGUAAAAGGGAAGCGGCAGAUGUUCAAGGGAAGGGAGCAAACAGCAGGGACAGAGCGUCCCUCCCUCCCUGGUGGGGAUGAGCAGAGCACACCUGCUGCUGUGCGGGCUCCCGCUGCCAAGCAGAGCGGCACAGCUGUGAGACCCUGCUUCUGGCUGCUUCGCCUGUCUUCAGGGAUGGAGCCCCUCCCAAGCAAGGAGAGUUCAACUGGGUUCUUUGGCAGCCGAAGUCUACACGGACCCUGCAGGGAGCGGUGGAGAAAAGAGUGAAAACAUGUUUUUGGAUGAACAAUUCACAUACGCUCAACCUGCUGCUCCUUGCGGCCAUACCUUGAGAUGGAAGACACAUUUUUGAGGGUGAUGUUACAGGUCACAUGUGGGGCAUAUUGAUCUUGAUGAGAAAGCUCACUCAGAGAAGUAGUCAAGAAAGCAAUAUAUUGAAAAUAAAGCCAUGUAUGUAGCAACGAAGGUAUUCAAGGUGCCCACUUUGAUGACUUGUACUCGUGCCUUUGAUCCCCACUGUAGAAAAUGCUCUGCUCCAUUUCAAAAGAGAUUGCCUUGUGCCCCAUUUGUUGGCCUUUGGAUCAAACCAGCAACAGACCUCACAGAUAGAAUUCCACCAUUAGCCAUUCACAAAGAGGUAAAUUCUAAGUCCUUUGCCUCACUUCCAAAUAUUUCUCUCCAGAGAAAAGCUUUUUUUUUUUUUUUAAAUCUAUUUGUUAAUAUUGCCAUCUGUUUUGGUUACUACUAA